UUGCAAAAUAAAGGUUAAACAAGUAGUGGAAUUUUUGUUGUAAAUGUACUGCUAAUAGUGGAACUUGUGAUAUAAAUUUACAGGAAGUAGUGGAACUUGCAAAAUAUAUGUACAGCAAGUAAUGGAACUUGCAACAUAAAUGUUUAGCAAGUAGUUGAACUUGCAACAGAAAUGUACAACAAGUAGUGGAAUUUGCAAAUUAUAUGUACGGCAAGUAGUGGAACAUGCAAGAUAAACGUACAGCGAGUAGUGGAACUUGCAACAUAAAUCUACAGCGAGUAGUGGAACUUGCAAAACAUAUGUACAGCAAGUUGUGGAACAUGCAACAUAAAUGUACAGCAAGUAGUGGAACUUGCCACAUAAAUCUACAGCGAGUAGUGGAACUUGCAAAAUAUAUGUACAGCAAGUAGAGGAACUUGCAACAUAAAUGUACAGAAUUUUGCAGGUAGUGAAACUUGCAAAAUUAAUGUGCAGCAAGUAGUGGAACUUUUUUUGAUAGACGGUCGGAGGGGGGAUUUGACAUCUUCCUCAGCAAAUAUGAAGACUGAUGCAUCUUGUAAUACUACUACUCAAAUAAGGUCAGAGGGGGUAACCGCUACUUCCUUCUUCAAAAAUAAAUACUCUGGAUGCAUCUUGUAAUACUACUACUGUAAUAUGGUCAGAGGAGGAGGGAUACGCCCUUUUCUCGUGUCUUUGUGUACACCACCACUUUUUUAAAGAUGUAAAAAAAAUUAUUCAUUUUAUAAACUUGAUCUAUUAGAUGUAUAUUUUGAAAUAAAGAUAAAAAUAAUUAUGAGAAUGAUUGUUUUUUUUAAUUA
This is a non-coding RNA of Hydra vulgaris (swiftwater hydra), 818 nucleotides long. The record is from RefSeq and is a predicted model, not a curated record. NCBI's taxonomy places the organism in Eukaryota, Metazoa, Cnidaria, Hydrozoa, Anthoathecata, Hydridae.